Molecule: ribosomal RNA, 478 nt
Filed under: uncultured bacterium
Lineage: Bacteria
Description: partial 16S ribosomal RNA
Rfam family: Bacterial small subunit ribosomal RNA
Source: RNAcentral
GAUGAACGCUGGCGGCGUGCUUAACACAUGCAAGUCGAACGGGAAUUAUUUUAUUGAAACUUCGGUCGAUUUAAUUUAAUUCUAGUGGCGGACGGGUGAGUAACGCGUGGGUAACCUGCCUUAUACAGGGGGAUAACAGUCAGAAAUGGCUGCUAAUACCGCAUAAGCGCACAGAGCUGCAUGGCUCAGUGUGAAAAACUCCGGUGGUAUAAGAUGGACCCGCGUUGGAUUAGCUUGUUGGCAGGGUAACGGCCUACCAAGGCGACGAUCCAUAGCCGGCCUGAGAGGGUGAACGGCCACAUUGGGACUGAGACACGGCCCAGACUCCUACGGGAGGCAGCAGUGGGGAAUAUUGCACAAUGGGGGAAACCCUGAUGCAGCGACGCCGCGUGAAGGAAGAAGUAUCUCGGUAUGUAAACUUCUAUCAGCAGGGAAGAUAGUGACGGUACCUGACGAAGAAGCCCCGGCUAACUACGUG